Long non-coding RNA from Aegilops tauschii subsp. strangulata, 4279 nucleotides. RefSeq lists it as uncharacterized. The record is from RefSeq and is a predicted model, not a curated record. NCBI's taxonomy places the organism in Eukaryota, Viridiplantae, Streptophyta, Magnoliopsida, Poales, Poaceae.
AUAGCAAAUUCAUAAAAGCUCAUCCUAUCUUUACCUUUAUCUUUACCUUUAUCUUUACCUACUAAUAAACCGGCUGUUGCUUCGGGUCGGACGUCGUCAUCAGUUUUGCAAAAACAUCCCUGAGGUUUUGCUUAUUCAACCCGCAGUCCCGUUUUAAGUGGCUAAUUUGGGGAAACGUUUCGGUUUUACUAAAAGGACCCUGUAGUUUGGUAUAUUCAACCCGUGAUAUUUUUUACGUCAACGCGGUGGCUCGAGCUGCUGGGGGCGCGGCGGUUGGAGCGGCGGAUCUGUGCACGGCAGGGGCUGGGAGGCGGAUCCGGUGGCGAGCGGCGAGGCAGGGGUCGCCGGUGACGAUGAGGAAGGCCGGAGUGCGGCUUCCCGGACGGAUCCAUGGCAGAAAAGAGACAGGGUGGUGAGGAAGAAAAGAUGGGAGAAAAGAGGGGCGGUGCGGCGACCCAGGCAUGCUCGCUGGAGCCGGGUGAUGGCAGACGGGCGCGGGAGACGGAAGGAUCCGGCAUGGCAGCGCGAAGUCCUUGUAGUUGGAGGCGGGCCUCCAUGGCCGCGGCGACCCCUCCCCUUCUCUCCGUGGCCACGGCAGCUCAGGCAGCGGUCAGAUCCGCCCUCCCCCCCUCAUUCCUCGCGCUGGAUAACCUAGCCGCCGGGCCAUGGUGACCGAGGGCGAUGAUGACGGUGGUGGCUACCUCGACGACGGCGGCACACACCCAACAUCGCCAUGGACCAGUAGCUCAAGCAUUCUUCUUCCUGAUGGUGAUGGGGUUCCCUCACCAUCUUCAGGUCGUCAUCCUUGAGGCCUCCACCAUCUGCAGUGUCUACAGUGGACUGUUUGCACCUUCUGUGCAAAUACCUGAUUGUAUAUGGAUUGAAUGGAUGGAUAGAUUGCAGGGUCUACAAUGCACCACCUUGAUUUGAUUCGGUCUGGAGCAGCAGCAUCAGCUCCUUCCUUCCUUCUCAACCAUCUGUAUUUACAUUACUACUGUAAGCUUCUGAAAUGUAAAUUAUGCUAGGACAAUUCAUCUUUAGCUUUAACUAUGACAUUCCUAAAUGCGCGAGUAAAUACUACUGGGAUUACGGCUAACAAAAAAAAUUCAUGACAUGCGAGCAAUUCUCGGUUUAAAUACUGCGAGCUUAAAUAACAGGAGCUAAACUGUUGUGCUAUGUUCAGAAUUGGUACUAGAAAAGAUAAUCUAAACUGCACAUUCUGAAAGUAUAUUGGGCUCUUGCCCUCGGGAAAUUAGUCUUCUAAGCAUUACUUCGUAAAUAAAUGACAUGAUAACUUGUUGGUUCAGUUUAAAGCUGUAGGCAGAGGCUUGCGGUAGGGGGAAAAUCACUGCCAGUUGAAAACCAAAACUUCUAUUUGUGAGUAUGAUCGGGACUGCGCUUUUCUGAAAGUAUGUUAGCCAAUGUUUGGAUAUCUUUCAAUUACUUCUGAACAAGAAAGAUGUAGUGCCAUGCUAAGUUUGGAUGUGGAGUUGCAAUUUAACCUGCUUUGCAGCUCCAUUUUGUCUUGCUACAGCAAUACCUUGCCUGAGUGGUUCAGGGGUCAGGAACUUACAUGGGCUUGCUCUUCUUUCAUGUAUUAGAUAUGGAGUCCACGCUGCUUAGAUUUUCUAAAAUUUAUCUUCAUUUCUACAACUUCAUUUUGCAAUACAAAUAUAAGAUCACUAUUAUUACGAGUGGUGAAAUUUUCUUGUCAAUGAACUUUACGGCUAUUUGGUCAUGUAUUUGACUGCUUAUAUUUUUUAUUUCCUAAUUGUGCACUUACUCUGCAUAAAAUUCAUUAGCACAUAUUUCCUUGCAAUUAUACUAAAUUUCUGUUUGCAUCCUUUUUCCAUUUUGGUGGAAUGUAGACAUUGCUUAAGAUGUAGUUUGAUAUUUUUCUAGGCGCAAGCCAUCAGGCUCUUCCAGUCCAGGGGCAACCAGGCCCGAGUCACCAUCAUCCUGAUGUUGCCACGAUGGGCGGCGGCAGCGGACAAACCAAUGCACCUUGCGGCGAUAUCUACGUUAGGGAGGGUGUUGUUGCCGUCCACCACGAUAACAACCUGUGUUGUGUCUCACCAUCAUCCUGAUGUUGCCACGAUGGGCGGCGGCAGCGGACAAACCAAUGCACCUUGCGGCGAUAUCUACGUUAGGGAGGGUGUUGUUGCCGUCCACCACGAUAACAACCUGUGUUGUGUCGAUUUUAGAUUCUUUGGUGACGAAUUGGACUACAUCCCACUGAAGGCCACUUAUCCUGCUCAUGAGCGAGGCUACUUAAAAACAAUCCUAGGUGAGUGAUAUGUUCUUUGUCAUGUCAUGUAUGUAGUUCCACCGACCUCAUAUUGGAUCGCAGUGUUUUGUACAGGAUUCUUGUGGCGAAUUCCUGAAGAAAAAAAAUCAUUCUUCAAGAUGAUGUUUUUCAAGCUCUGAAUAGUGAUUAUGUUUGUUCUAUAGUAUACCAAAGAUCAUGCUUUUCUUUAUGUCACAGAAUAGAUAUGCUCUAAAUUCCAAUGGCACUAAACAUCUUAAGGAUAAAAUAGAAGCAAUCUUUAGGAACUGGACAUGUCUGCUCUAUAAGAACCCCUGUGCUUAUACCAUGAUUUUGUCUGUAACCUAGCGUUAGGUGUGCAUGGGUCGUAGCUGCACCUAUAUAAGGAGCAGCAGUGGUUAUAUUAAAAGGAUUUUCUUCCUCUAUUCCAUCGCCCCUCACGGGUCCCCCACUCCCACACGCUCCCUCCUUACUGCUCCCAUUCAUCAUCUCUCCUGGAUCCCACACCCAUUGUAGCUCAAUCCACGCCGUAGUGUGCAUCUCCAGUUAUUGGUGCUAAGGAAAACGCUGCCUCCUCGCCACCGGGCCGCACCAACCGGAUGUUGCCGUGUUGUGUUUGUGUAAAAAUAUAUGGUAAAUAAAAUAUAUUUAUGAACACUUACUGAACAUACAACGGUGAUAAAUAUAUGUAAUUUCAUUUACAUCACCUGUUUUGAACUGUAUUUUAUAUGCAAUUUCUAUAUCAUGGUGGAACACACAAUUUGAAUCGAAAAGAAUAGCACUGACCAAUGUAUAUUUUGCAAGUUCAGAUAUAUAUCCAUACUUAACUAAAGUACGUACAGUGCAUACUGUGGAAGCACAUGGCAAAUAUUCAUGGUUAACUAAAUGCAUCUGCUCCAUUCUGGCAGCUGUGAGUCUCGGGACAGUUCUGUGUGGCCUUGGAUCAAUCUUGAACUGAUUGGUGUUAUCUGCCCAUUCUCUUUACAUGACCCAAUACAAUAUUUGUAGCUGCUUUGGCUGAGAUGAAUUGUUUGUUUCACGGAUCCAAGCGUUGUUUUGGCGCUAAACCAAAUCCUGGACCGAAGCCACAUAUGGUCUCUGCUUAAUUGUCUUAUAAGCAGUAGUGCAGCUGAGUUCUGGAAAUCCCACCCUCCUUGCCAGUAGCAAGAUGUGACUAAAUUUAUAAAUAGGGAUUAGAAAGAAACAUGUUACUUUGGUUACUUUUAUCUUUAUUUUACGUAAUUUAGCUUAUUGCAACUGUGGUUUUAUGCUGCAGUUGACAAGAUCCUUAAAGUUAGCUGGCAAUCUUCUUCUAUCCUUUUCAUUGUACUAUGUUUUUCAAGCUCCGAUGUUUACUUAAAAAAAUAGAAAUUAGCAAAAAAUUGCAAAUUUUGUUUCCCGCUGCUCGGUCAGGCAAAGCCAGCUGCUCACCACUAUGUGCAGUUCUCUUCCAUUUCAUGGCGUGUAACCGAAUAUGGCACAAGACUGUAGUUGUGUCAUUGUGAAAUUUACGGAUGUUGAUGUUUCUUUUCAAUAUAAUAGUAUUGUUUACCAAUUUGGUCCCUGGAUCAUGAACUAAUUUCUCUUUCUAUUCCUUCUAGAUAAUUUGCUUCAUUUCUAGCUACAUGGUGAAACACGCAUAUUGUUUCCCGAUAUAUUGGGCAUCAGUCCACCUCUCAUGAGAUCUCUGAAUUUUUGAUCCAUAUUGUAUUUGCAGAAUUAUUUCUUCAAGAUAACUAUGCUUGGAUUCACAAAUGCAUGCAAUUGCCUUCAAAUGGAGGUUAGUUCUUUACUAAUUCUGUGCUAUUCCACUUUCAAGUUUUUGGUUCUAGAAGUGUAAUACUUGCUAGGUUAGCUGCAGAAGCGGGAUGUAUAUGGCCUGAAUUUAUAUUUCGAGUGUAUAAACUGAUUCAGAGUAUUCUGACAUCUGAAACAUUUUGUUGUAUGGUUCUGUCUUGAAAGAACUGAAGUAAUUCUUCUAUGGGAGAGAAUAUAAACGUGAUUCUGAAACAA